This 502-nucleotide ribosomal RNA is filed under the name uncultured bacterium. Its description in RNAcentral is "partial 16S ribosomal RNA". It matches the Rfam family "Bacterial small subunit ribosomal RNA", at positions 28 to 523 of the family's 1533-position model. The record is from RNAcentral.
GAUGAACGCUAGCGGCAGGCCUAACACAUGCAAGUCGAGGGGCAGCACAGAAACAGCAAUGUUUUGGUGGCGACCGGCGGACGGGUGCGUAACGCGUAUGCAACCUACCUUUAACAGGGGGAUAACGGAGAGAAAUUUCCACUAAUACCCCAUAACGUCGAUCAAGGCAUCUUGAUUGGUUGAAAACUCCGGUGGUUAAAGAUGGGCAUGCGUUGUAUUAGGUAGUUGGUGAGGUAAUGGCUCACCAAGCCUACGAUACAUAGGGGGACUGAGAGGUUAGCCCCCCACACGGGUACUGAGACACGGACCAGACUCCUACGGGAGGCAGCAGUGAGGAAUAUUGGUCAAUGGGGGCAACCCUGAACCAGCCAUGCCGCGUGCAGGAAGACGGCUCUAUGAGUUGUAAACUGCUUUUAAACAGGGAUAAAGCACAGUAUGUAUACUGUGUUGAAGGUACUGUAAGAAUAAGGAUCGGCUAACUCCGUGCCAGCCGCCGCGGUAA